GAAUAUUGGUCAAUGGACGCAAGUCUGAACCAGCCAUGCCGCGUGAAGGAUGAAGGCCUUCUGGGUUGUAAACUUCUUUUAUUGGGGAAGAAACCUCCGAUUUCUAUUGGAGCCGACGGUACCCAAGGAAUAAGCACCGGCUAACUCCGUGCCAGCAGCCGCGGUAAUACGGAGGGUGCAAGCGUUAUCCGGAUUUACUGGGUUUAAAGGGUGUGUAGGCGGGCAAGUAAGUCAGUGGUGAAAUCUCCAGGCUCAACCUGGAAACUGCCGUUGAUACUAUUUGUCUUGAAUAUCGUUGAGGUAGGCGGAAUAUGUCAUGUAGCGGUGAAAUGCUUAGAGAUGACAUAGAACACCGAUUGCGAAGGCAGCUUACUAAACGAUUAUUGACGCUGAGGCACGAAAGCGUGGGGAUCAAACAG
Molecule: ribosomal RNA, 419 nt
Filed under: uncultured bacterium
Lineage: Bacteria
Description: bacterial SSU rRNA
Rfam family: Bacterial small subunit ribosomal RNA
Source: RNAcentral